RNAcentral lists this ribosomal RNA (194 nucleotides) under uncultured bacterium. Its description in RNAcentral is "partial 16S ribosomal RNA". It matches the Rfam family "Bacterial small subunit ribosomal RNA", at positions 338 to 524 of the family's 1533-position model. The record is from RNAcentral.
CCUACGGGAGGCAGCAGCGGGGAAUAUUGGACAAUGGGCGAAAGCCUGAUCCAGCCAUGCCGCGUGUGUGAAGAAGGUCUUCGGAUUGUAAAGCACUUUAAGUUGGGAGGAAGGGCAGUAAGCUAAUACCUUGCUGUUUUGACGUUACCGACAGAAUAAGCACCGGCUAACUCUGUGCCAGCAGCCGCGGUAAU